This 305-nucleotide ribosomal RNA is filed under the name uncultured bacterium. RNAcentral describes it as "partial 16S ribosomal RNA". It matches the Rfam family "Bacterial small subunit ribosomal RNA", at positions 508 to 808 of the family's 1533-position model. The record is from RNAcentral.
ACAGCAGUCGCCGCGGUAAUACGUAGGUAGCAAGCGUUGUCCGGAAUUAUUGGGCGUAAAGGGCUCGCAGGCGGUUUCUUAAGUCUGAUGUGAAAGCCCCCGGCUCAACCGGGGAGGGUCAUUGGAAACUGGGAAACUUGAGUGCAGAAGAGGAGAGUGGAAUUCCACGUGUAGCGGUGAAAUGCGUAGAGAUGUGGAGGAACACCAGUGGCGAAGGCGACUCUCUGGCCUGUAACUGACGCUGAGGAGCGAAAGCGUGGGGAGCGAACAGGAUUAGAUACCCCGUGUAGUCCCUGUCUCUUAUU